UACGGAGGAUCCGAGCGUUUUCCGGAAUUAUUGGGUUUAAAGGGUGCGUAGGCGGCCAUUUAAGUCAGCGGUGAAAUUUUGCAGCUUAACUGUAACAGUGCCGUUGAUACUGGGGAGCUAGGAUUUGGUUGCUGUGGGUGGAAUGUGUGGUGUAGCGGUGAAAUGCUUAGAGAUCACACAGAAUAUCGAUUGCGAAGGCAGCUCACAAAGCCAAGAUUGACGCUGAGGCACGAAAGUGUGGGGAUCAAACAGGAUUAGA
RNAcentral lists this ribosomal RNA (259 nucleotides) under uncultured prokaryote. RNAcentral describes it as "partial 16S ribosomal RNA". It matches the Rfam family "Bacterial small subunit ribosomal RNA", at positions 524 to 782 of the family's 1533-position model. The record is from RNAcentral.